ACGCUCGACACCUACGGGGAGGUAGCAGUGAGGAAUAUUGGUCAAUGGGCGGCAGGCCUGAACCAGCCAAGUAGCGUGAAGGAUGACUGCCCUAUGGGUUGUAAACUUCUUUUAUAUGGGAAUAAAGUUUUCCACGUGUGGAAUUUUGUAUGUACCAUAUGAAUAAGGAUCGGCUAACUCCGUGCCAGCAGCCGCGGUAAUCUGAGCGGGCUGGCAAGGC
RNAcentral lists this ribosomal RNA (220 nucleotides) under uncultured bacterium. Its description in RNAcentral is "partial 16S ribosomal RNA". It matches the Rfam family "Bacterial small subunit ribosomal RNA", at positions 328 to 539 of the family's 1533-position model. The record is from RNAcentral.